RNAcentral lists this small nucleolar RNA (202 nucleotides) under Dipodomys ordii (Ord's kangaroo rat). Its description in RNAcentral is "Small nucleolar RNA SNORA73 family (ENSDORG00000022769.2)". Lineage: Eukaryota; Metazoa; Chordata; Mammalia; Rodentia; Heteromyidae. The record is from RNAcentral.
CCAGUGUGAAUAUCUGAGAGGUCUUUCUCUACAGGAUCUGCCCAAGUAGUUGAGGGCAUCAGGUGCUUCCCCAUAGUGCACAGUCUCUUUCUAUAGUGUAGGAGAUGAAGAUGGACUUUGUGUGUACCUGCAUACUACUGCAGCUUACCAGAGUCGUCUUUGACAGUGACAAAGGAGAUGACAAACCAUGUAGGAAAAUAGC